CCUACGGGUGGCAGCAGUGAGGAAUAUUGGUCAAUGGACGCAAGUCUGAACCAGCCAUGCCGCGUGCAGGAAGACGGCUCUAUGAGUUGUAAACUGCUUUUGUACGAGGGUAAACGCAGAUACGCGUAUCUGUCUGAAAUUAUCGUACGAAUAAGGAUCGGCUAACUCCGCGCCAGCAGCCGCGGUAAUACGGGGGAUUCGAGCCGUAACCGGAUUUGUUGGGUUUAAAGGGUGGGUAGGCGGUCGGAUAAGUUAGGGGUGAAAUCCCGUGGCUCAACUUCGGAAUUGCCUCUGAUACUGUUCGGCUAGAGAGAAGUUGCGGUAGGCGGAAUGUAUGGUGUAGCGGUGAAAUGCGUAGAGAUAAUAAAGAACACCGAUUGCGAAGGCAGCUUACCAGGCUACUUCUGACGUUGAGGGACGAAAGCGUGGGGAGCAAACAGGAUUAGAUACCCCAGUAGUC
This 460-nucleotide ribosomal RNA is filed under the name uncultured bacterium. Its description in RNAcentral is "partial 16S ribosomal RNA". It matches the Rfam family "Bacterial small subunit ribosomal RNA", at positions 338 to 795 of the family's 1533-position model. The record is from RNAcentral.